This 542-nucleotide long non-coding RNA is filed under the name Cricetulus griseus (Chinese hamster). Its description in RNAcentral is "lncRNA (ENSCGRG00015033030.1)". The record is from RNAcentral. Lineage: Eukaryota; Metazoa; Chordata; Mammalia; Rodentia; Cricetidae.
CUUUAGUACAUGCUGUACAGACUGCUGCCACAUCGGCUGGCUAGGUCGCUCUCAUUAUUUGUAAUAGCCGGAACCUGGAAACAACCUAGAUGCCUUUCAACUGAAGAAUGUAUAGAGAAAAUGUGGAGUACUAAUCAGCAGAAAAGAAAAUGGAAUCUUGAAAUUCGCAAGCAAAUGUAUGGAACUAGAAGAAACCAUCCUCAGUGGGAAAAUCCAAUUACAAAAAGAUAAACAUGGUACGUACUCACUCAUUUUUGAUUUUUAGACAUAGAGCAAAGAAUCACUAGCCUACAUUCCACACUUCCAGAGGAGCUAGGAAACAAGGAGGGUAUGGGGAUAAGAACCCCUGCCCAAAUUGGAGCUCCGGGCAGGGAGAGGAAGGAGAAUCUUCAUCCAGUUGCUGUUCAAAGUAGAAGCAGACACCCAUAGCUAAGCAAUGAACCAUACUAUUGGAAUUCAUUUGUGGAGUGGAAGGAUGGAGAAAUCCUCAGAAACAGUGGGCCUGACCUAUUGGUAGAAUGGAGACCAUAGUCAUGAAUCUA